This 228-nucleotide ribosomal RNA is filed under the name uncultured Pseudomonas sp. RNAcentral's name for it is "partial 16S ribosomal RNA". It matches the Rfam family "Bacterial small subunit ribosomal RNA", at positions 1 to 235 of the family's 1533-position model. The record is from RNAcentral. Lineage: Bacteria; Pseudomonadati; Pseudomonadota; Gammaproteobacteria; Pseudomonadales; Pseudomonadaceae.
CAUGAGUUUGAUCCUGGCUCAGAUUGAACGCUGGCGGCAGGCCUAACACAUGCAAGUCGAGCGGAUGACGGGAGCUUGCUCCCUGAUUCAGCGGCGGACGGGUGAGUAAUGCCUAGGAAUCUGCCUGGUAGUGGGGGACAACGUUUCGAAAGGAACGCUAAUACCGCAUACGUCCUACGGGAGAAAGCAGGGGACCUUCGGGCCUUGCGCUAUCAGAUGAGCCGUAGG